UACGGAGGGGGCAAGCGUUAUUCGGAAUCAUUGGGCGUAAAGGGCGCGUAGGCGGUACUUCAAGUCAGGCGUGAAAGCCCCGGGCUCAACCUGGGAACAGCGCUUGAGACUGGCACGCUCGAGUUCGGGAGAGGAUGGUGGAAUUCCCAGUGUAGAGGUGAAAUUCGUAGAUAUUGGGAAGAACACCGAUGGCGAAGGCAGCCAUCUGGACCGACACUGACGCUGAGGCGCGAAAGCGUGGGGAGCAAACAGG
Molecule: ribosomal RNA, 253 nt
Filed under: uncultured bacterium
Lineage: Bacteria
Description: partial 16S ribosomal RNA
Rfam family: Bacterial small subunit ribosomal RNA
Source: RNAcentral